Molecule: transfer RNA, 68 nt
Filed under: Marmota monax (woodchuck)
Lineage: Eukaryota; Metazoa; Chordata; Mammalia; Rodentia; Sciuridae
Description: tRNA.Ala
Source: RNAcentral
GGAUUGUGGCUCAGCGGUAGAGCGCUCGCCUAGCACGUGCGAGGCACUGGGUUUGAGCCUCAGCACCA